RNAcentral lists this ribosomal RNA (228 nucleotides) under uncultured bacterium. RNAcentral's name for it is "partial 16S ribosomal RNA". It matches the Rfam family "Bacterial small subunit ribosomal RNA", at positions 107 to 334 of the family's 1533-position model. The record is from RNAcentral.
UGAGUAACACGUAGGUAAUGUGCCUUUGGGUGGGGAAUAACUUAGGGAAACUUAAGCUAAUACCGCAUAAUGCAGCGGCUCCUAAUGGAGACAGUUGUUAAAGAUUUAUCGCCUAAAGAGCAGCCUGCGGCAGAUUAGCUAGUUGGUAAGGUAAUGGCUUACCAAGGCUACGAUCUGUAUCCGACCUGAGGGGGUGGUCGGACACACUGACACUGAAUAACGGGUCAG